This 193-nucleotide unclassified non-coding RNA is filed under the name uncultured fungus. RNAcentral's name for it is "sequence contains ITS1, 5.8S rRNA gene". The record is from RNAcentral. Lineage: Eukaryota; Fungi.
UUAACUAUUAUAUAGUACUCAGACAGUAUAGACAAACAGAGUUUAGGUCCUCUGGCAAGCGCUCGCCGGCCGGAGCCAGCAGCCCGAGGGCAGGCUUGCCAAAGCAACAAAGGUAAUAUAAACAAAGGGUGGGAGAUCUACCCCAAAGGGCAAUUUCUCUGUAAUGAUCCUUCCGCAGGUUCACCUACGGAAA